UUAAGCAUAUCAAUAAGCGGAGGAAAAGAAACCAACAGGGAUUGCCCUAGUAACGGCGAGUGAAGCGGCAUCAGCUCAAAUUUGAAAUCUGGCUCUUUUAGGGUCCGAGUUGUAAUUUGCAGAGGGCGCUUUGGCAUAGGCAGCGAUUCAAGUCCCUUGGAACAGGGCGUCACAGAGGGUGAGAAUCCCGUACGUGGUCGCUAGCUCUUGCCGUGUAAAGCCCCUUCGACGAGUCGAGUUGUUUGGGAAUGCAGCUCUAAAUGGGAGGUAAAUUUCUUCUAAAGCUAAAUAUUGGCCAGAGACCGAUAGCGCACAAGUAGAGUGAUCGAAAGAUGAAAAGCACUUUGGAAAGAGAGUCAAAAAGCACGUGAAAUUGUUGAAAGGGAAGCGCUUGCAGCCAGACUUGCCUGUAGUUGCUCAUCCGGGCUCUUGCCCGGUGCACUCUUCUGUAGGCAGGCCAGCAUCAGUUUGGGCGGUUGGAUAAAGGUCUCUGUCAUGUACCUCUCUUCGGGGAGGCCUUAUAGGGGAGACGACAUACAACCAGCCUGGACUGAGGUCCGCGCAUUCGUGCUAGGAUGCUGGCGUAAUGGCUGUAAGCGGCCCGUCUUGAAACACGGACCAAGGAGUCUAACAUCUAUGCGAGUGUUUGGGUGUCAAGCCCGAGCGCGUAAUGAAAGUGAACGGAGGUGGGAACCCUUUUGGGUGCACCAUCGACCGAUCCUGAUGUCUUCGGAAGGAUUUGAGUAAGAGCAUGGCUGUUGGGACCCGAAAGAUGGUGAACUAUGCUUGAAUAGGGUGAAGCCAGAGGAAACUCUGGUGGAGGCUCGCAGCGGUUCUGACGUGCAAAUCCAUCGUCAAAUUUGGGCAUAGGGGCGAAAGACUAAUCGAACUAUCUAGUAGCUGGUUCCUGCCGAAGUU
Molecule: ribosomal RNA, 918 nt
Filed under: Comoclathris permunda
Lineage: Eukaryota; Fungi; Ascomycota; Dothideomycetes; Pleosporales; Pleosporaceae
Description: LSU rRNA
Rfam family: Eukaryotic large subunit ribosomal RNA
Source: RNAcentral